Molecule: long non-coding RNA, 566 nt
Filed under: Trifolium pratense (red clover)
Lineage: Eukaryota; Viridiplantae; Streptophyta; Magnoliopsida; Fabales; Fabaceae
Description: long non-coding RNA (TPRA_LNC011869)
Source: RNAcentral
CUUUUCUUAUUUAGUGCCUUAUUUCAUUUCAUUACCAAAAUCUUAUUAAUACAUUUGUAAGGUCCAAAAAAUUACAAAAAGAGAAAUAAAUAAAAAUAAUUAUUGGGUUUCGACACAAUAUAAAUAUGGCAACUAUGGUAGUAUUUUUACUAGUAGUGUAAAAACUUAUUCUUCCGUGGAGGAUAAGUGUCCACGCACGUGCUUUCUAGCCAAUUGCCCUGAACUUGCGAGUCCAUCUACAUACUUUGUUAACACACCUAAACGUUCGAGUAUAAGUAGAGUCUGGACAAUCAGAAUCAUUUUUACAUGGAAUUAAUGCUGUAAUAAAAAAAAAGUUAUUAAUAUUGGGAUGAAAAGAUUGUGUGCAAAUUACAAACUAGUGAAGGAAGGAUAAAAAAAUAUAUUACCAUCGAUAUUUCUUGCAACAAAAAAUAAGAAAAGAAAUAAAAUCACAGCAUACGCAAAUGUGAGAGUUUUAGCCAUAUUUUAUUUCUCUUUGAAUGUAAAAAUAGAAUAUGAUUUGAUCAUUUUAUAGUGUGUAAAACGGAUAUUGUGCUAAAAAUAAU